RNAcentral lists this ribosomal RNA (441 nucleotides) under uncultured bacterium. RNAcentral's name for it is "partial 16S ribosomal RNA". It matches the Rfam family "Bacterial small subunit ribosomal RNA", at positions 338 to 795 of the family's 1533-position model. The record is from RNAcentral.
CCUACGGGUGGCAGCAGUGGGGAAUAUUGGGCAAUGGAGGCAACUCUGACCCAGCAAUGCCGCGUGAGUGAUGAAGGUAAUUUUAUUGUAAAGCUCUUUUCUUUGGAACGAAUAAAUGACGGUACCAAAGGACUAAGCCCCGGCUAACUACGUGCCAGCAGCCGCGGUAAUACGGAGGAUGCGAGCGUUAUCCGGAUUUAUUGGGUUUAAAGGGUGCGCAGGCGGAUUUUUAAGUCAGCGGUCAAAUCGUGGGGCUCAACCCCAUCCAGCCGUUGAAACUGGGGAUCUAGAGUGUGCGAGAGGUAUGAGGAAUGCGUGGUGUAGCGGUGAAAUGCAUAGAUAUCAUACAGAACACCGAUUGCGAAGGCAGCUUACCAAUCUAUAUCUGACGUUGGGGCACGAAAGCGUGGGGAGCAAACAGGAUUAGAUACCCGAGUAGUC